GGUUAAGCGACUAAGCGUACACGGUGGAUGCCCUGGCAGUCAGAGGCGAUGAAGGACGUGCUAAUCUGCGAAAAGCGUCGGUAAGGUGAUAUGAACCGUUAUAACCGGCGAUGUCCGAAUGGGGAAACCCAGUGCAAUUCGUUGCACUAUCGUUAACUGAAUACAUAGGUUAACGAGGCGAACCGGGGGAACUGAAACAUCUAAGUACCCCGAGGAAAAGAAAUCAACCGAGAUUCCCCCAGUAGCGGCGAGCGAACGGGGAGCAGCCCAGAGUCUGAAUCAGCUUGUGUGUUAGUGGAACGGUCUGGAAAGUCCGACGGUACAGGGUGAUAGUCCCGUACACCAAAAUGCACAGGUUGUGAACUCGAAGAGUAGGGCGGGACACGUGGUAUCCUGUCUGAAUAUGGGGGGACCAUCCUCCAAGGCUAAAUACUCCUGACUGACCGAUAGUGAACCAGUACCGUGAGGGAAAGGCGAAAAGAACCCCGGCGAGGGGAGUGAAAAAGAACCUGAAACCGUGUACGUACAAGCAGUGGGAGCACCUUUAUGGUGUGACUGCGUACCUUUUGUAUAAUGGGUCAGCGACUUAUAUUCUGUAGCAAGGUUAACCAUAUAGGGGAGCCGCAGGGAAACCGAGUCUUAACUGGGCGUUAAGUUGCAGGGUAUAGACCCGAAACCCGGUGAUCUAGCCAUGGGCAGGUUGAAGGUUGGGUAACACUAACUGGAGGACCGAACCGACUAAUGUUGAAAAAUUAGCGGAUGACUUGUGGCUGGGGGUGAAAGGCCAAUCAAACCGGGAGAUAGCUGGUUCUCCCCGAAAGCUAUUUAGGUAGCGCCUCGUGAAUUCAUCUUCGGGGGUAGAGCACUGUUUCGGCUAGGGGGUCAUCCCGACUUACCAACCCGAUGCAAACUACGAAUACCGAAGAAUGUUAUCACGGGAGACACACGGCGGGUGCUAACGUCCGUCGUGAAGAGGGAAACAACCCAGACCGCCAGCUAAGGUCCCAAAGUCAUGGUUAAGUGGGAAACGAUGUGGGAAGGCACAGACAGCCAGGAUGUUGGCUUAGAAGCAGCCAUCAUUUAAAGAAAGCGUAAUAGCUCACUGGUCGAGUCGGCCUGCGCGGAAGAUGUAACGGGGCUAAACCAUGCACCGAAGCUGCGGCAGCGACACGAUGUGUUGUUGGGUAGGGGAGCGUUCUGUAAGCCUGCGAAGGUGACCUGUGAGGGUUGCUGGAGGUAUCAGAAGUGCGAAUGCUGACAUAAGUAACGAUAAAGCGGGUGAAAAGCCCGCUCGCCGGAAGACCAAGGGUUCCUGUCCAACGUUAAUCGGGGCAGGGUGAGUCGACCCCUAAGGCGAGGCCGAAAGGCGUAGUCGAUGGGAAACAGGUUAAUAUUCCUGUACUUGGUGUUACUGCGAAGGGGGGACGGAGAAGGCUAUGUUAGCCGGGCGACGGUUGUCCCGGUUUAAGCAUGUAGGCUGGUUAUCCAGGCAAAUCCGGAUAAUCAAGGCUGAGGUGUGAUGACGAGGCACUACGGUGCUGAAGUAACAAAUGCCCUGCUUCCAGGAAAAGCCUCUAAGCAUCAGGUAACAUCAAAUCGUACCCCAAACCGACACAGGUGGUCAGGUAGAGAAUACCAAGGCGCUUGAGAGAACUCGGGUGAAGGAACUAGGCAAAAUGGUGCCGUAACUUCGGGAGAAGGCACGCUGGUGUGUAGGUGAAGCCCCUGCGGGUGGAGCUGAGACCAGUCGAAGAUACCAGCUGGCUGCAACUGUUUAUUAAAAACACAGCACUGUGCAAACACGAAAGUGGACGUAUACGGUGUGACGCCUGCCCGGUGCCGGAAGGUUAAUUGAUGGGGUUAUCCGUAAGGAGAAGCUCUUGAUCGAAGCCCCGGUAAACGGCGGCCGUAACUAUAACGGUCCUAAGGUAGCGAAAUUCCUUGUCGGGUAAGUUCCGACCUGCACGAAUGGCGUAAUGAUGGCCAGGCUGUCUCCACCCGAGACUCAGUGAAAUUGAACUCGCUGUGAAGAUGCAGUGUACCCGCGGCAAGACGGAAAGACCCCGUGAACCUUUACUAUAGCUUGACACUGAACAUUGAGCCUUGAUGUGUAGGAUAGGUGGGAGGCUUUGAAGCGUGGACGCCAGUCUGCGUGGAGCCAACCUUGAAAUACCACCCUUUAAUGUUUGAUGUUCUAACGUGGGCCCCUAAUCGGGGUUGCGGACAGUGUCUGGUGGGUAGUUUGACUGGGGCGGUCUCCUCCCAAAGCGUAACGGAGGAGCACGAAGGUUAGCUAAUCCUGGUCGGACAUCAGGAGGUUAGUGCAAUGGCAUAAGCUAGCUUGACUGCGAGCGUGACGGCGCGAGCAGGUGCGAAAGCAGGUCAUAGUGAUCCGGUGGUUCUGAAUGGAAGGGCCAUCGCUCAACGGAUAAAAGGUACUCCGGGGAUAACAGGCUGAUACCGCCCAAGAGUUCAUAUCGACGGCGGUGUUUGGCACCUCGAUGUCGGCUCAUCACAUCCUGGGGCUGAAGUAGGUCCCAAGGGUAUGGCUGUUCGCCAUUUAAAGUGGUACGCGAGCUGGGUUUAGAACGUCGUGAGACAGUUCGGUCCCUAUCUGCCGUGGGCGCUGGAGAAUUGAGGGGGGCUGCUCCUAGUACGAGAGGACCGGAGUGGACGCAUCACUGGUGUUCGGGUUGUCAUGCCAAUGGCACUGCCCGGUAGCUAAAUGCGGAAGAGAUAAGUGCUGAAAGCAUCUAAGCACGAAACUUGCCCCGAGAUGAGUUCUCCCUGAGACUAUAAGUCUCCUGAAGGAACGUUGAAGACGACGACGUUGAUAGGCCGGGUGUGUAAGCGCAGCGAUGCGUUGAGCUAACCGGUACUAAUGAACCGUGAGGCUUAACCUU
This 2903-nucleotide ribosomal RNA is filed under the name Klebsiella quasipneumoniae. RNAcentral describes it as "23S ribosomal RNA". It matches the Rfam family "Bacterial large subunit ribosomal RNA". Lineage: Bacteria; Pseudomonadati; Pseudomonadota; Gammaproteobacteria; Enterobacterales; Enterobacteriaceae. The record is from RNAcentral.